This 253-nucleotide ribosomal RNA is filed under the name uncultured bacterium. RNAcentral's name for it is "partial 16S ribosomal RNA". It matches the Rfam family "Bacterial small subunit ribosomal RNA", at positions 524 to 776 of the family's 1533-position model. The record is from RNAcentral.
UACGUAGGGAGCAAGCGUUGUCCGGAAUCAUUGGGCGUAAAGCGCGCGUAGGCGGCCUUGUAAGUCCGUUGUGAAAGUCAAAGGCUCAACCUUUGAAAGCCGAUGGAUACUGCAAGGCUGGAGUUCGGUAGGGGAGACUGGAAUUCCUGGUGUAGCGGUGAAAUGCGCAGAUAUCAGGAGGAACACCGGUGGCGAAGGCGGGUCUCUGGGCCGAUACUGACGCUGAGGAGCGAAAGCGUGGGGAGCGAACAGG